Molecule: ribosomal RNA, 391 nt
Filed under: uncultured bacterium
Lineage: Bacteria
Description: bacterial SSU rRNA
Rfam family: Bacterial small subunit ribosomal RNA
Source: RNAcentral
GACGAACGCUGGCGGCGUGCUUAACACAUGCAAGUCGAGCGGUAAGGCCCUUUCGGGGGUACACGAGCGGCGAACGGGUGAGUAACACGUGGGUGACCUGCCCUCAGCUCUGGGAUAAGCCUGGGAAACUGGGUCUAAUACUGGAUAUGACUCCACGGUGCAUGUCGUGGGGUGGAAAGCCUUGUGCGGCUGAGGAUGGGCCCGCGGCCUAUCAGCUUGUUGGUGGGGUGAGGCCUACCAAGGCGACGACGGGUAGCCGGCCUGAGAGGGCGACCGGCCACACUGGGACUGAGACACGGCCCAGACUCCUACGGGAGGGCAGCAGUGGGGAAUCUUGCGCAAUGGGCGAAAGCCUGACGCAGCGACGCCGCGUGAGGGAUGACGGCCUCGG